AGAGUUUGAUCCUGGCUCAGGAUGAACGCUAGCUACAGGCUUAACACAUGCAAGUCGAGGGGAAACGACAUCGAAAGCUUGCUUUUGAUGGGCGUCGACCGGCGCACGGGUGAGUAACGCGUAUCCAACCUGCCCAUCACUUGGGGAUAACCUUGCGAAAGUAAGACUAAUACCCAAUGACGUCUCUAGAAGACAUCUGAAAGAGAUUAAAGAUUUAUCGGUGAUGGAUGGGGAUGCGUCUGAUUAGCUUGUUGGCGGGGUAACGGCCGACCAAGGCGACGAUCAGUAGGGGUUCGUGAGAGGAAGGUCCCCCACCAUUGGAACUGAGACACGGUCCAAACGUCCUACGGGAGGCA
RNAcentral lists this ribosomal RNA (356 nucleotides) under uncultured bacterium. Its description in RNAcentral is "bacterial SSU rRNA". It matches the Rfam family "Bacterial small subunit ribosomal RNA", at positions 8 to 350 of the family's 1533-position model. The record is from RNAcentral.